This 991-nucleotide ribosomal RNA is filed under the name uncultured Amoebophrya. RNAcentral's name for it is "partial Bacterial large subunit ribosomal RNA". It matches the Rfam family "Bacterial large subunit ribosomal RNA", at positions 188 to 1243 of the family's 2925-position model. The record is from RNAcentral. Lineage: Eukaryota; Dinophyceae; Syndiniales.
GGGAACUGAAACAUCUAAGUACCCAGAGGAAAGGAAAGCAACAUGCGACUCCGUAAGUAGCGGCGAGCGAAAGCGGAUAGAUGUGAACCUACGAACACGAAGGAAUGCGUGACCAAAGACGGUGAAAGUCCGGUAGUAGGGUGUAGCAUCAUAGCCCUCGAUUAGGCUCGGGCUCGUGGAACCCGGGUUGAACAUGGGAGGUCCACCUUCCAAGGCUAAGUACUCCUUGACGACCGAUAGCGAAGAAGUAAAGUGAUUGAAAGUUGAAAAGCACCCCUAUUAGGGGGAUGAAAGAGUCCCUGAAACCGUAUGCCUACAAGCGGUCGGAGCCCUCCGGGGUGACGGCGUGCUUUUUGCAUAAUGAGCCCGCGAGUUAGUCUCAGUGGCGAGCUUAAGGCCUAACGGGCCGGAGGCGGAGCGAAAGCGAGUCUGAAUAGGGCGCAUGAGUUAGAUGGAUCAGACCCGAAACCGAGUGAUCUAGGCAUGGCCAGGUUGAAGGUUGGGUAACACCAACUGGAGGACCGAACCCACAUCCGUUGAAAAGGAUCGGGAUGAGCUGUGCCUAGGGGUGAAAGGCCAAUCAAACUCGGAGAUAGCUGGUUCUCUGCGAAAUCUAUUUAGGUAGAGCGUCAUCCGAAUACCCCCGGGGGUAGAGCACUGGAUGGGUAAUGGGGCCCCACAGGCUUACUGAUCCUAACCAAACUCCGAAUACCCGAGAGUAAUAUACGGCAGACACACUGCGGGUGCUAACGCCCGUAGUGAAAAGGGAAACAACCCUGACCUCCAGCUAAGGCCCCUAAUUCAUGGCUAAGUGGGAAAGCAGGUGGGACGACCAAAACAACCAGGAGGUUGGCUUAGAAGCAGCCAUCCUUUAAAGAUAGCGUAACAGCUCACUGGUCUAAAUAAGUUGUCCUGCGGCGAAGAUGUAACGGGGCUCAAGCCAUGAGCCGAAGCUGAGGAUGCACAUAGUGCAUGGUAGCGGAGCGUAGUG